Molecule: ribosomal RNA, 560 nt
Filed under: Aspergillus flavus
Lineage: Eukaryota; Fungi; Ascomycota; Eurotiomycetes; Eurotiales; Aspergillaceae
Description: eukaryotic LSU rRNA
Rfam family: 5.8S ribosomal RNA (bases 219-372)
Source: RNAcentral
AAGGUUUCCGUAGGUGAACCUGCGGAAGGAUCAUUACCGAGUGUAGGGUUCCUAGCGAGCCCAACCUCCCACCCGUGUUUACUGUACCUUAGUUGCUUCGGCGGGCCCGCCAUUCAUGGCCGCCGGGGGCUCUCAGCCCCGGGCCCGCGCCCGCCGGAGACACCACGAACUCUGUCUGAUCUAGUGAAGUCUGAGUUGAUUGUAUCGCAAUCAGUUAAAACUUUCAACAAUGGAUCUCUUGGUUCCGGCAUCGAUGAAGAACGCAGCGAAAUGCGAUAACUAGUGUGAAUUGCAGAAUUCCGUGAAUCAUCGAGUCUUUGAACGCACAUUGCGCCCCCUGGUAUUCCGGGGGGCAUGCCUGUCCGAGCGUCAUUGCUGCCCAUCAAGCACGGCUUGUGUGUUGGGUCGUCGUCCCCUCUCCGGGGGGGACGGGCCCCAAAGGCAGCGGCGGCACCGCGUCCGAUCCUCGAGCGUAUGGGGCUUUGUCACCCGCUCUGUAGGCCCGGCCGGCGCUUGCCGAACGCAAAUCAAUCUUUUUCCAGGUUGACCUCGGAUCAGGU